GCCGUCAUGGCAGCGGCUCUGCCCCGCCGAGCGGCCCGCCCCGGCCCAACGACAGCACCGUGGGGCGCGAUCGGCACUGGCCUGGCUGACACUAGGACGCGGUGUUGCAAAAAACACAUUAACCACUGUUCUGGAAAGAGACUCAGAGUUCUUACUAGUUCCUGGAAGCCACAGAUCUCUCCAGCAGCUCUUAGGUAAUUCUCUUCCCUCAGACAUAAAUGAUGGUUAUUCUGGAGAUAAACUUUUUUUCCGUGUAGAAGACAAGAACUGUUUUUUCUUUUGCCUCAAAGCUUGCUUCUUGUGAGACAUUCCGUUUUUCUUUUUUCAGUUUAGGAUACUUCUGCAACCUUUAACCAAAAUUAUGACCACAGAUGGUCUUCUUCUAUUCAAAAUAAAUCGUCAGUAUAAGAGUAAACGAAUCAGACUUACACGUCUGUAAGCGUUGUGUUUUAAAUGAACAGACAAAAGACAACUUCACAGAAUACACAAAAAUAUACUGUAACAUUCUGGUUCCAUUAGUAAGUUCACUGAAAAACUUGUGCACGAUAACUGAUUUAAACUGCAUUUAAACAUGAGAACCUUCUGCUAUCAUACUGAAUUGAAAGUGUGAAAAAAUCUAAAAUAAAACAAUAGGCCAUGCUCAUUCUUCCCAAGUUUCUGAAAUCUGGGAGGAAUUUGAGAGAAGACAUGGUGAAUUUGGGGAUCUGUCCUCUUCAUGGCUAGAUGAGGUAUCAACUCUUUUCCUGGUCUGUCCACACAAAAAUGAAAAGGAGCAAGAACUUUUCAGGUUUCUUUUCAUGGACAAGUCAUGCAGUCUAAUGGUCAUCAAAAAAAACCAACAAAGCUUUGUUGUGAGUGCACGUUGUUAGGCUAAAAUGAGUAAUAUUGCAUACAUUUGGUUUAUAGAUCCUCCAGGUCACAAAGAUCAUUUCCACAAAACACGUGAGGCAUCUUACACAGUAAGUAAUUUUAUCUCAAGUGUGCAGUUUUUUAACCUUUCACUCUGUUAGAAAAAGGCUAGAUACAGAAAAAGAUAUGUCAUUAAUACGUUGCAUAUAUAAAAUAAGAUACAUAAUAUGAAAGCAUGAACUCAUUGAUAAGUAUACAAUGAGGAACGUAAAAUUAAUGAGAUUGAUACAAAAGGAUCUGUUCAGUAAGGUUCUUCAUUAGUUCCCACUAAAUUUAGGAUAUAGUGGGGCUUUGAGCAUAUUCCAGGUUCAGCAUUUUAAUUUAGUGAAAACAGAAAAAAAAUACAAAAAAAUACCAAAAUAUAUUGUAUGUAAAACCACAGGUUACUCUUGGUACAGUGCCCAUAUGUAGUUUAGUUAAACACCAGGCUACAUCCUUUGUCUUUAUUAGUCCUAUCAUUAUGUCUUCUUAAAUUGUGGUCUAAUCUGGAAACAUUCUGCAUACAACACCUGCCCAACAUUGUUCAUGCAUGAAGACAAGAAUAAAUACAAAUGAACAGUUUUACAAAGUAUAAUGUUUCUUUCUCUUGGGCUGAAAGAAAAAAGUCUUAUUGUUUUAAAAUUGCAAAUAUUCAAAAAAAGGUAAAAAUCAAUAUUCUUAUGUUGCAGUACACAGAAGUAUGUAGCAUUUUAUAAGCUAGUAACUGAAUUUAAUUAACGUGGAUUUGGUAACCCAUCCCUUACAUGAAAAUUAUUUUAAACUUACUAAAGCAGGGCAUCGUAUCUAUCCAAUGAUCAUUAAGAAUUGUUACAGUUUGACUCAUGCUAUUCAUGACUAAGACAUAAUGACCAUGCUGCCAUUACAGAUCUUAUUCCUAACUACUUUAAUACUUCUACUCUUCAGCCAGCAUUUUGAUCUCAAGCUCCUAUUUGGUAAAUGACAAUUUAAAAGUCGUAACUUCAAUGAGACCCAUUCAUGUUUCCUUAAAAACAUAAAUGAAAAUGGGUUUAUUACCACAACAGAUACAACACUGGUGUGAUAGCUAUGUGGGAUUUGUCCAUUUACCCCAGGGAGAGCGAUGUGAUUCCAGAAUGUAUGCGAUCCCAUCUACAUCUAAUGUAGACAGGGCACACGGGCCGUUUUGCCCUGAAUAUAUUCCUGUCUGUAUUACAAUACGUUAUGUGCACAUCCUGGUGCACAUACUAUUUUCAUCUGAUAACUUUAUCGUAUUUUAGUAUAUCAGCAAAUUACAAAGUUAUUACAGGAGAUAUCUUGCAAGAUCUGUUGAAGUCAGUAUGGACAAAAUUAUAAAGUUACUGCUGAAGUCAUCAAGGAAGUUGAACGCAAUAGAUGAUGAGCUACAUAUGAGAAUAUGUGUCUAAUUUUAAACACAUCCCGAACUCACUAAUGCACAGUCAAGGCAUCUGCAGGGUAGUGUUGACAGAAACUGUCAUUACAGAUAGCUAUGAAAAGGCAGUGAGCUUUAAUCAUCAAGAAUGAUACUCAUUCUGUAUGGAAGAAUCAGUAUGAGAAAGAUCUAGAAAGAAGAUAAAUAAAUAUAAUGAGAGUUUACAGAUGCAGAGCAAAGAGAUGUACCUAUGAAACAAAUGCAUUUCUUGCUAGCCACACAGAGGAUGCUCUGUUAGCAGAGGGAAAGACACACACAAGGAAACAGUUUUAUUCCUUUUCAUCCUAGAAAGUGGUUUUAUGGUAUUUAUUCCUUUUCCUACACCAAUCUGAAUGUAAGAGCUGCUGGGGCCAUGAGGCUUUAAGGCUACAGAACACAAAGUUCAUA
Molecule: long non-coding RNA, 2704 nt
Organism: Numida meleagris (helmeted guineafowl)
Lineage: Eukaryota; Metazoa; Chordata; Aves; Galliformes; Numididae
Exons: 3
Source: RefSeq, a predicted model, not a curated record